RNAcentral lists this long non-coding RNA (723 nucleotides) under Sorghum bicolor (sorghum). Its description in RNAcentral is "long non-coding RNA (SBIC_LNC012101)". The record is from RNAcentral. Lineage: Eukaryota; Viridiplantae; Streptophyta; Magnoliopsida; Poales; Poaceae.
UAGAGUGUACUAUGGUAUUUAUACGUACACAGAUAAAUCCGCAAGCGCACGGAUACCGCUGUAACUUUUACCCGGUUAAAGGUUUUAUCAUAUCCACAGGGAAACGGGAGAACCAACUACGCUCUAACUUAACCAAGAUAGAUAGAUAGGUGUAAAUAGGGAAGAUAGUAGAAUUGAAUAAGAACAAUAUUAAAGGUAAGAUAACAAUGGGUGAUAAUAUGGGAAUAGAGAGUAGAGCAAUCUAGUAUAUGGGCGAUGGUAGGAGAAUAGAGAGGAUAACUAUGGUUUCUCUACUUCAAAGGGGUAUGUCUAUGUCUGGGACGAACCACUUGAUAAGAAUACACCACAAAGGAUGCUUAUCCAUAGGCCGAUAAACCCUACCAGUCCUGCUAACAGGAGGUGGACUAUAGAGGACCAACGUAACUGUCACCUACGCGGUCUACCACACGAUCCGGCUAGACAGGGGAUAUCCACAAGUAAUCUAGGUCUAAGCACCACGCUUACACCUAUACUACAACUCUCACCUAUAGCGUCCUAUAGAUUAAAGUACUCAAAAGAGUUGUGAACCAGAACAUACAUGGAUAGUAAUUGCAUAAUGAAAUAGAAGUAGAUUACCAGAGCCAUCCCAUGAGCAAGCUUGAUUAGAACUUGAUCAUGGCGAAGUACAACCGAAUGAAGAACCGACAGGCCGGCCUCUCCUCCAAUCCUCCCUCGCUCUCCAUC